CUUAUUUAUUUUCUGCCCCAGCUGUCUGGUGGUGAGUAGGAGCUCCAGAGAUGCUUGUGGCAUAGAAGAGUGGUUGUGUGCAAAGUGAGACUGUCUCCUCUCCCACAGCCUGACUACAAAACUAGGCCACAUAUGCAAACAUCUAUUAGCAAAAGCAGGCACAACAACAGGGUUUUUAUCUAGAUGGGGAGACACGGUAUGUACCCACGAAGAAAACCACCAUCAAAUGAGCUACACAGAUGUGGGACUAGAGGG
Non-coding RNA from Kogia breviceps (pygmy sperm whale), 255 nucleotides. Lineage: Eukaryota; Metazoa; Chordata; Mammalia; Artiodactyla; Physeteridae. The record is from RefSeq and is a predicted model, not a curated record.